RNAcentral lists this long non-coding RNA (840 nucleotides) under Homo sapiens (human). Its description in RNAcentral is "HSALNT0315391". The record is from RNAcentral. Lineage: Eukaryota; Metazoa; Chordata; Mammalia; Primates; Hominidae.
CCUUGGCGGGCCGCGCACUCUGAGCAGCCGGCCUGCCCUGCAGGCCACGGGCAAUGAGGGGCUUAGCACCCGGGCCAGCGGCUGCGGAGGGUGUACUGGGUCACCCAGCAGUGCCAGCCCACCUGGCGCUGCGCUCAAUUUCUCACUGGGCCUUAGCUGCCUUCCCGCGGGGCAGGACUCGGGACUUGCAGCCCGCCAUGCCUGAGCCUCCCACCCCCUCCAUGGGGCUCCUGGGCGGCCCGAGCCUCCCCGAGGAGCGCCACCCCCUGCUCCACGGCGCCCAGUCCCAUCGACCACCCAAGGGCUGAGGAGUGCGGGCGCAAGGCACCUGGACUGGCAGGCAGCUCCACCUGCAGCCCCGGUCCCCACUGCUUUUAUGAGCUGUAACACUUGCCGCCAAGGUCUGCAGCUUCACUCCUGAAGCCAGCGGGACCACGAGCCCACUGGGAGGAACGAACAACUCCAGAGGCCCUGCUUUAAGAGCUGUAACACUCCCCGCCAAGGUCUGCAGCUUCACUCCUGAGCCAGCGAGACCAUGAACCCACCAGAAGGAAGAAACUCCCAACACAUCCGAGCAUCAGAAGGAACAAACUCCAGACGCGCCACUUAAGAGCUGUAACACUCACUGCGAGGGUCCGUGGCUUCAUUUUUGAAGUCAGUGAGACCAAGAACCCACCAAUUCCGGACACACCGGCACUUUGGGAGGCUGAAGCAGGAGGAUCACGAGGGAAAAGUUUUGCUUGCUGAUGUUACAGUGAUAAGAAAGGAAAGAAAGAAAAAGAGAGAAAGAAAGGAAGGAAGGAAGGGAAAGAAAGAAAGGAAAGAAAGAAAGAAAGAAGA